RNAcentral lists this ribosomal RNA (467 nucleotides) under uncultured bacterium. RNAcentral's name for it is "partial 16S ribosomal RNA". It matches the Rfam family "Bacterial small subunit ribosomal RNA", at positions 28 to 506 of the family's 1533-position model. The record is from RNAcentral.
GACGAACGCUGGCGGCGUGCUUAACACAUGCAAGUCGAACGGAAACGCCCUGCUUUUUUGCUCUGCUCGAUUGGCGAACGGGUGAGUAACACGUGAGUAACCUGCCCUUGACUUUGGUAUAACUUCAGGAAACUGGGGCUAAUACCGUAUAGCAUCUCCUCUUGCAGUGUGGGCGGUGGAAAUUUUCGGCGUGUGGGGAUGGACGCGCGGCUUAUCAGCUUGCUGGUUGGGUAGGGGCUUACCAAGGAUUUGACGGGUAGCCGGCCUGAGAGGGUGACAGGCCACAGUGGCAUUGGGAUAGGGCCCAGACUCAAAAGGGGGGAAGGAGUGGGGAAUAUUGCAAAAUGGGCCGAAGCCGGAAGGAGCGACGCCGCGUGGGGGAUGACGGCUUUCGGGUUGUAAAACGAUUUCGCCUGUGACGAAGCGUGAGGGACGGUAAUGGGGAAAGAAGCACCGGUUAACUACGU